This 347-nucleotide unclassified non-coding RNA is filed under the name soil metagenome. RNAcentral's name for it is "partial contains 5.8S ribosomal RNA, internal transcribed spacer 2, and large subunit ribosomal RNA". The stretch from base 1 to 120 matches the Rfam family "5.8S ribosomal RNA", at positions 35 to 154 of the family's 154-position model. The record is from RNAcentral.
GAUGAAGAACGUAGCGAAAUGCGAUAAGUAAUGUGAAUUGCAGAAUUCAGUGAAUCAUCGAAUCUUUGAACGCACAUUGCGCCCGCUGGUAUUCCGGCGGGCAUGCCUGUUCGAGCGUCAUUUCAACCCUCAAGCCCCCCGGGUUUGGUGUUGGGGAUCGGCUCUGCCUCACGGCGGUGCCGCCCCCGAAAUACAUUGGCGGUCUCGCUGCAGCCUCCAUUGCGUAGUAGCUAACACCUCGCAACUGGAACGCUGCGCGGCCAUGCCGUAAAACCCCAACUUCUGAAUGUUGACCUCGGAUCAGGUAGGAAUACCCGCUGAACUUAAGCAUAUCAAUAAGCGGAGGA